GAACCGAACCGAACCAUAAACCGAUAAAAUCUCUUUUAUCGGUUCGGUUUAUUCUCUCCCGUCCCGUUAGUCCCGACUGUAGGGUUUAUUCUUUCUCGACUCUGGCCCUCUCCUCUCGUCUCGUGUCUCCUCUUGGUCGGCUUGGAGGUGCAACGGCGACGGCGGCAGGGACGGCGACGGCGGCAGGGACUGCAACGGCGACGGCAACCGAUUGAGGGACAGGAGCGAGUUCUUGGGAGGCACGCUUCACAUCAAGUGGAAUGGAAUGAAAUCGGGAAGUGAUGGGGAAAGCAAUGGACUGGAGUGAUGAUUCCAAGUCUUGGUUUUUGUUCAGUGAUUGUGGAGGACGGAAUGGAAAUCCUUGUGUUUGAGUGCGAUUCUGGAAGAUUUUGGGAGGUUUGAGCUUUUGGCGGUUUGGUAAUGUGGAGAGAUGGUCACUCUGUUCACAAGC
Eucalyptus grandis is the source of this 451-nucleotide long non-coding RNA. RefSeq lists it as uncharacterized. Lineage: Eukaryota; Viridiplantae; Streptophyta; Magnoliopsida; Myrtales; Myrtaceae. The record is from RefSeq and is a predicted model, not a curated record. The transcript is spliced from 2 exons.